GACGUAGGGUGCAAGCGUUGUCCGGAUUUAUUGGGCGUAAAGAGCUCGUAGGCGGCGUGUUGCGUCGACCGUGAAAACCUAUCCGCUUAACGGUGGGCUUGCGGUCGAUACGGGCACGCUAGAGUUCGGUAGGGGAGACUGGAAUUCCUGGUGUAGCGGUGAAAUGCGCAGAUAUCAGGAGGAACACCGGUGGCGAAGGCGGGUCUCUGGGCCGAUACUGACGCUGAGGAGCGAAAGCGUGGGGAGCGAACAGGAUUAGAUACCCUGGUAGUCCACGCUGUAAACGUUGGGCGCUAGGUGUGGGGGCCUCUCCAGGUCUCCGUGCCGCAGCUAACGCAUUAAGCGCCCCGCCUGGGGAGUACGGCCGCAAGGCUAAA
Molecule: ribosomal RNA, 377 nt
Filed under: uncultured bacterium
Lineage: Bacteria
Description: bacterial SSU rRNA
Rfam family: Bacterial small subunit ribosomal RNA
Source: RNAcentral